RNAcentral lists this long non-coding RNA (353 nucleotides) under Trifolium pratense (red clover). Its description in RNAcentral is "long non-coding RNA (TPRA_LNC008429)". The record is from RNAcentral. Lineage: Eukaryota; Viridiplantae; Streptophyta; Magnoliopsida; Fabales; Fabaceae.
UAGACUGUUUGCUUGCUUAUGAUCCUGAUUAGCUGACUUGGAUUGUCUCUUCUGCAUUUGAUUGUUAUCUAGGUGACCCAAAAGUGCUGAUUUUAUAAGAAAGGGAGGCAAUUCUCCUGUGAUGGAGCCUGCUGCUGCUUUUCAUUCUCAGCAAUGGCUAAGUGGUGUUUAAUUGUCGCUGGUAUUUUAACUGCUUAGUAAUAUUGAUGUUGUAUCCUUAGCUAUUGCUUAGUGAGUUCCAUUGUAUUGGUACAUUUUAUUCUGAACUGGUAUCCUGUAUCAUUUAGAGCUUGCUGUACAUCUUGUACACAAGACUUUUUGCUUCUAAUGCCAAUUUGCCUUUUCCAAAAAAA